UACGUAGGGGGCAAGCGUUAUCCGGAUUUACUGGGUGUAAAGGGAGCGUAGACGGCAGAGCAAGUCUGAAGUGAAAGCCCGCGGCCCAACUGCGGGACUGCUUUGGAAACUGCCCGGCUAGAGUGCUGGAGAGGUAAGCGGAAUUCCUAGUGUAGCGGUGAAAUGCGUAGACAUUAGGAGGAACACCAGUGGCGAAGGCGGCUUACUGGACAGUAACUGACGUUGAGGCUCGAAAGCGUGGGGAGCAAACAGG
This 253-nucleotide ribosomal RNA is filed under the name uncultured bacterium. RNAcentral's name for it is "partial 16S ribosomal RNA". It matches the Rfam family "Bacterial small subunit ribosomal RNA", at positions 524 to 776 of the family's 1533-position model. The record is from RNAcentral.